AUCCAUACAAAUAAAUACAAAUUAUUGAAAGAUUUUUAUGGUUGGGAAUUAUAAAUUUUUUAAAUGGCUAAAUAAAGUCAUGGCUAUAAAUUCAUCAAAAUAAGCAAAUAAAAUGUUACAAAGUAAAAUAUUUUAUUCAACGGGUAAACAAUUACAUAAUAUGUAAAUAUAUAAUACAAAUUACAAUAACAUAGCAAUUUAAAUUUAAUUUUGAAUUUGAUAUUGAAUAUUGAAAAGAUCUAUUUUUGGCGGGAACCUAACUUACCUGUGGUAAUGAGUCUAGAAUUCAGUAAAACAGUAGAACACAUCUGUAUAUAUUUAGCCAUGAUAUUACUGUUGUCCACGUCUGUGCCAUUAACCUCACUUACAGUCAAAAAUAUAAUUGCCAAUCGUCAUGUUUAUUAUCUAAACUCGAUGUCCAUUUAAAAUUUGACGCUUCAUAAAUCUAUAAAAUCGGUCUAAGUAGUUGCCCCUCUUCUUAGCCUUAGCCCCACAAGAAGCCAAGAACCAUAGAUAUAAGAGUCACAUAGAUAAGUAGGUAUAAUAUUGGAUAACAGCAACCAUGGUUAGGUUUCCUACAACAGUGCUAGCAACUAACAACUUACGUACCUAGGUCAGUGGCGCAACCAAGGGGGUAGACUCCUGGUCAGACCGUUUAAUUGCUGAUUUGAAAUUUUGAAUUUUCUGUUUAUAAUUUAUAAAUUUAAAUUUAAAAGUUUUAAAACAUACCUUAAAAAUACUAACUAGGAAAACAAAUUAAAUGGAUC
This is a non-coding RNA of Cinara cedri, 767 nucleotides long. The record is from the annotation of a GenBank genome assembly. NCBI's taxonomy places the organism in Eukaryota, Metazoa, Arthropoda, Insecta, Hemiptera, Aphididae.